This 1054-nucleotide long non-coding RNA is filed under the name Ananas comosus (pineapple). Its description in RNAcentral is "long non-coding RNA (ACOM_LNC037022)". Lineage: Eukaryota; Viridiplantae; Streptophyta; Magnoliopsida; Poales; Bromeliaceae. The record is from RNAcentral.
UCGUCAAGUUUCGGGCGAAAACGAGUUAAAACGGAAAUUCUACGCGAUUUCCAAGUUUCACUUAAAGUGAAUAGUAACUCGAUUUUCCGGAGAAGCCACGGUGGGAAGUUGGCUUCUGGCUCGUACCGGACUCUGUUCAUAGCAGUCCAAUAGCUCGUUUCGACCGGGUCAGCUAUUCUGGAGCUAAUGACGCUGACGGAUUUUGAGUUUGACGCACGGAUUUCGAGAAAAUCCAAAAAUACAUGUUUUAUAUGUAUUUAUGUGUGUGUUUCCUUCUAUUCGAAGAAGGUUGGAUUUUGUCGUGAAUCCGUGGUCGAUCAAGACGAAACGAAAUCGCAGCUUUGUUGUCUCCGUCGUGCUGAUCGCACUGGUGCAAUCCGUUCGUAAAUCUGACGGACGGAUCUGCGGAGAUCGCGCGUUGAUCGAGGAGAGGUCGGUAGUGGCAAAAUGGUAUUUUCGCGAAAGUCGCGAUAUUUUAUGUACCGUUUUGCGUGAGAUCGCACGUGGAGGGUCGUUCUUGCGUUUUAGUCGUAUUGUGAGGAUCUCGGAUUGAAAUUCUGAUGUUUGAGGGGCUUUCUUGCGAGUUGUACCUUGUUUAUAUAGUGGUUCCUAGGGUUUUGACCCCCUAACCCUAACCCUAGCCAGCCCCCAGCUACCCUAGUCGCCCCAGCCACCUUCACCCUUCCCCCUGCCCUUGCUGCACCAGCCCCGGCCGCCGCCGGCUGAGCCCCGGCCGCCGCCGAGCCAUCACCCAUCUUCCUUCCCUCUCUUUCUCUCUCCCUCUCUCCUCUCGGGUUGUGUGAAGGCCCGGGGCUGCGUCUCCUGCAGACCCUCCCCCUGGACUUCACCGUGCUCCGGCAACUCAUUCCCGCCGACCGCCGCCGUCGCCUGCGCUGCCGCAGCCGCUCCAGCCGCCUGCAGUAGCCCAGGCCGAGCUCAAGCCGAGCUGGGUUGCAGCCGCUGCCCGCGCGCCGCCACCGCCUGAGAUCGCUCCCGCCGACAUCCCCCGUGCCCGGGCGCUCUUUCCCGCUGGUCGCCGCCGCCCCGACGCGCC